Molecule: ribosomal RNA, 651 nt
Filed under: Glutamicibacter arilaitensis
Lineage: Bacteria; Bacillati; Actinomycetota; Actinomycetes; Micrococcales; Micrococcaceae
Description: bacterial SSU rRNA
Rfam family: Bacterial small subunit ribosomal RNA
Source: RNAcentral
GGGUGGAUUAGUGGCGAACGGGUGAGUAACACGUGAGUAACCUGCCCCCGACUUUGGGAUAAGCCCGGGAAACUGGGUCUAAUACCGGAUAUGACUUCCUGCCGCAUGGUGGGUUGUUGAAAGAUUUAUCGGUGGGGGAUGGACUCGCGGCCUAUCAGCUUGUUGGUGAGGUAAUGGCUCACCAAGGCGACGACGGGUAGCCGGCCUGAGAGGGUGACCGGCCACACUGGGACUGAGACACGGCCCAGACUCCUACGGGAGGCAGCAGUGGGGAAUAUUGCACAAUGGGCGGAAGCCUGAUGCAGCGACGCCGCGUGAGGGAUGACGGCCUUCGGGUUGUAAACCUCUUUCAGUAGGGAAGAAGCGAAAGUGACGGUACCUGCAGAAGAAGCGCCGGCUAACUACGUGCCAGCAGCCGCGGUAAUACGUAGGGCGCAAGCGUUAUCCGGAUUUAUUGGGCGUAAAGAGCUCGUAGGCGGUUUGUCGCGUCUGCCGUGAAAGUCCGAGGCUCAACCUCGGAUCUGCGGUGGGUACGGGCAGACUAGAGUGAUGUAGGGGAGACUGGAAUUCCUGGUGUAGCGGUGAAAUGCGCAGAUAUCAGGAGGAACACCGAUGGCGAAGGCAGGUCUCUGGGCAUUUACUGACGCUGAG